UACGAACUGUGCGAACGUUAUUCGGAAUCACUGGGCUUAAAGGGUGCGUAGGCGGUUUUCUAAGUCAGGUGUGAAAUCUUCCGGCUCAACCGGAAAACUGCGCCUGAUACUGGAGGACUGGAGUGAGGCAGGGGUGUGUGGAACUUCCAGUGGAGAGGUGAAAUGUGUAGAUAUCGGAAGGAACGCCAGCAGCGAAAGCGGCUCACUGGGCCUUUUCUGACGCUGAGGCACGAAAGCCAGGGGAGCGAACGGG
RNAcentral lists this ribosomal RNA (253 nucleotides) under uncultured bacterium. RNAcentral's name for it is "partial 16S ribosomal RNA". It matches the Rfam family "Bacterial small subunit ribosomal RNA", at positions 524 to 776 of the family's 1533-position model. The record is from RNAcentral.